AACGAACGCUGGCGGCAUGCCUAACACAUGCAAGUCGAACGAGACCUUCGGGCCUAGGGGCGCACGGGUGCUUAACGCGUGGGAACCUGCCCUUAGGUUCGGAAUCACUCACCGAAAGGGGAGCUCAUACCGGUUAAGGUAUUAGGACAAAAGAUUUAUCGCUGUUGGAUGGGCCCGGGUUGGAUUAGGUGGUUGGUAGUGUACAAGCCUACCAAGGCGACGUUCCAUAGCUGGUCUGAGAGGAGGACCAGCCACGCUGGGACUGAGACACGGCCCAGACUCCUACGGGAGGCAGCAGUGGGGAAUAUUGGACAAGGAGCGAUAGUCUGAUCCAGCAAUGCCGCGUGAGUGAUGAAGGCCUUAGGGUUGUAAAUCUCUUUUACCCGGGAUGAUAAUGACAGUACCGGGAGAAUAAGCUCCGGCUAACUCCGUG
Molecule: ribosomal RNA, 433 nt
Filed under: uncultured bacterium
Lineage: Bacteria
Description: partial 16S ribosomal RNA
Rfam family: Bacterial small subunit ribosomal RNA
Source: RNAcentral